CAGUUGGUUAGAAUACCGGCCUGUCACGCCGGGGGUCGCGGGUUCGAGUCCCGUCCGCUCCG
Transfer RNA from Shewanella sp. P1-14-1, 62 nucleotides. It matches the Rfam family "tRNA", at positions 13 to 71 of the family's 71-position model. From Rfam's summary of the family: Transfer RNA (tRNA) molecules are approximately 80 nucleotides in length. NCBI's taxonomy places the organism in Bacteria, Pseudomonadati, Pseudomonadota, Gammaproteobacteria, Alteromonadales, Shewanellaceae. The record is from Rfam.